This 45-nucleotide non-coding RNA is filed under the name Schistosoma margrebowiei. The record is from RNAcentral. Lineage: Eukaryota; Metazoa; Platyhelminthes; Trematoda; Strigeidida; Schistosomatidae.
AUCUAGCUGACGAGUCCCAAACAGGACGAAAGGUGCGUCCUGGAU